This 253-nucleotide ribosomal RNA is filed under the name uncultured bacterium. RNAcentral's name for it is "partial 16S ribosomal RNA". It matches the Rfam family "Bacterial small subunit ribosomal RNA", at positions 524 to 776 of the family's 1533-position model. The record is from RNAcentral.
UACGUAGGUGGCAAGCGUUGUCCGGAUUUAUUGGGUUUAAAGGGUGCGUAGGCGGUUCCUUAAGUCAGUGGUGAAAUACUUCAGCUCAACUGGAGAGGUGCCAUUGAUACUGGGGAACUUGAGUACUGAUGAGGUAGGCGGAAUGGACGGUGUAGCGGUGAAAUGCUUAGAUAUCGUCCAGAACACCGAUAGCGAAGGCAGCUUACUAAAGAGUAACUGACACUGAGGCACGAAAGUGUGGGGAUCAAACAGG